GUCUUUUCGAGGUGGGAGCCGACUGUUGUGAGGUAUGGUGCUGGGUGUAGAUGCAAUGUGGCUCUCGAUAGCACCUUAUGGACAGUUGUGUCCCAAAGGAGGGAUGACAAUAGCUACUGAAGUCCUAAAGAGCAAGCCUAACUCAAGCCAUUGGCAUACAGGCAUUAGACAGAAAAUUAGAAGUUGAAAUGGUGGAGUGCAACUUGUCUGGACCAGCUUUAUUUUUCUGGUAAGUAUUAAUGAAAAUGCUGAUAGUGAUAUGCUUACUGCUGAGCUAAUGGUUUAAGGCUUGGCUGAUGAAUACUGACUGUUUUCCUUGAACAUGUUUGGAACAGUGUGUAUUUUCCUUGAGCAUGUUUGGAACGGGGUUUGUGUAAUGAUGUUGAUCAAAUGUCUGACCUGAAAUGAGCGUGUAGACAGAAGGUAACACUGAAGAACCCUGUGACAGACAACUUUGAAAAGAGUUUAAUGAUGUUUAGCAUUUUAAUAGAAGGCCUCAUUUGUAUUCCACCUCCCGGUAACAUUUUUAUCUGUGGAUGGCUUGCUUGGGUAAGGACAUGAAGAUAGUUCCUCUAGCUUGUUUGUUUCUGAAAUGUGGUCUUACUAAUUGAUGACUGUUACACAGAGUCGUUUUGUUAGAAAAUUUUGAAAAGUAGGCAGUAUGAAAGUACUGUAUUAAAGCAGUUAUUUAAAAGCAUUAGAUAAGAUAUUUGAAAGUAAAUAUUUGAAUAUUGUUUACUUUGAAAAGUAAAUGAUAUUCAGUGUAGGAAAUGGUGUGAAACUUUUUCAGGUGCCGAUGUUUGGAGACCUUUUAAAGGUAUGUUUUAUUGAUGUUAACAUGUUUAUUGAGUGAGCUACUGUUAGUGAUGAUUUUAAAAUUAAAGCAGAUGGGAAUCUCUCUGAAAGAAAAUGGAGAUUAAUCUUAAACUGAAACAGUAGUUGGGAAAUCUUUUAGAAAUCCACCUAUUACUUCUACCUGUUGGUAAAGGAGAUUAAAUUUCUGCAGGUAUGGAGAGUCGACUUGACUACACCGUGUGGAGCAAGUUUUAAAGAAGCAAAGGACUCAGAAUUCAUGCUUGAAGAAAUGCAGGUUAGUUUAAACUUUUAAGGAAAUUUUUAAGGUGGCAAAAGGUUUUAGUGGCAUAUACACCUUAAUCUGUAGAUGGGAGUGAUUAGCUGUUUGAAAGUUGAAAUGUGACUGAAAAGGAAAUUGAGUAGGGAAAUUUUAAAUGGGAUUAUUUUUCAUCUUCAAACAGGCAGACCUGUUAUCCUAAACUAGGUGAGUCAGCUUUUGGUACAUGUGAUAAUUUUCAAUGUAACCAAUGAUGUAAUGAUUCUGCCAAAUGAAAUAUAAUGAUAUCACUAUAAAACCGUUCCAUUUUGAUUCUGAGGUUACUCUACUAACAAGCAUCACACGUUUGUUUUUUGCCGUGAUUAAUAUGUUGUCUUUGCUUUCAGGGUUUUUAAUGACUACAGCAAGCAAGCAUGUAGCUUUACCGCUUGAAAGGUGAGGAUUGGAAAUAUUGGGACUAUUAUAAUUGCAGAAUACAUGAUGAUCUCAGUCCAGCUUGAACUCUCUCACUGAUUACCUGAUGACAAUAAAAGAUCUGAUAUUCUGCAU
RNAcentral lists this long non-coding RNA (1621 nucleotides) under Macaca mulatta (Rhesus monkey). Lineage: Eukaryota; Metazoa; Chordata; Mammalia; Primates; Cercopithecidae. The record is from RNAcentral.